AGCCUUAAUGUGGCCCGUGUUCUUUGUGAGUAAACAAAUUGGCCUUUGAUGUACCUAACAGCCUGUCUACAUGCAAAGUGUACCAUUGAGAUGACUGCUUAUCUCCUUGAUUCAGCUUUGGCCAAGGCAGAGACGGAGCUGAGAGACUGGCUUUUUGCUUCAUCAGAUCAAGGGAGGAAUCUUUGGCAUGAUCCAGGAAGCACUUAAGCUCUGUGGAAUCUGAAAAAUUAGAUUGAGCAACAGCAGUGGGAGAGCAUAAACAGCUCAUAGGAACAGGCGGACCCAUUUGUUUUCCAGACGUUUAGAAACUUUAUGCAGAUGUCACCAAGCCACAAUAAGUUUCCGUUUAUCCAUUGGUUAUGGUUUAAUCUAGUCUGUAAGAGGGGGAGAAGCUGAAAUGAAAAUGUGCGUAGUUUAAUGAAGACUAAGGAUAAAAAAUGAGUUUGACAUCAAUCAUCUCUUACCCUUUGGUAGGUAUUCAGACUAAAUGGCGAAAAAGGCCUGCGUUAUUGAUAGGAAUGGGUGUGCUCUUGAAAGCCAGUAAAACAGCUCUGACUGAGCAUGUGGUGUCAAGUCUGCCCCUGAAAGGAUUGUUGUCACCAUACAAAUAUUGUAUGUAUGUCACUUACACACCCUGACUAAGAAAUGUUACCACGCCCUUAUUCAAAACAAGUCUGCCUUGAGAAAGUUCACAAGGGGAAUCAGCUUUUGCAGUUUACUGGGAAAGAGAGGUGAAAAUAUAACGUUUCCAUUCUGAAGAUCUUUGCUGUAGUGACAUUCUCCCUGUUGGAUAAAAACUUUUGAAAAGUUUCUACAUACUUCGUUAAGGAUUUCCUCCCUUGCAGUGUAAGGAAGACGGUUGCGGUAUGUAUUCAAUGGUCUGGAAUGGGAAGGGCUUGUUGUCACAUCGCGAACGGUUUCACCUCACAGUUUUUCAUUCACAAUCAUUUCAGAUAUGGGCCGUUGCUGCAAGUUGUCAGUGUUGAACAUGAAGUGGGUGUGACCAACUGCGUAAAGGGAAAGUCGCGGUCCACAGCCCUUCAUGCUAUGAAUGACUCAUGUCCAGGGUAGGUCAAAGAAAAAGAAACAACGAUUUCAAGGGGGAAAAAAGAUAAAGACAAGAGAAAUGAGAAACCCGAAGACCAUAGCACCUGCCAUUGAAAUCUUUUCUAAAUGUUCCAUCACGAACAGAACUUUACAAGACUAACGACUGCUGAAAGUUUGGCCCGCGACUUCUGCAACGCUCUCAGAAUAAACGGUCACGCCAGAGGGAUGUCGCUGCACAGACAACAAGCCUACCCAGACAUGGAUGAGGUCAAACUUCAGCCUCAGGUCAGACAUCAUGCCUGGACUCAUGGUCGGGUUUGGGUUGUUUGUUUUUUAAUCAGUUUUCAACCAGAGAUACUUUUACAUCCAAUUUAGAACUUUUAAAAAUGUAAAAAAUAAACAAAUAAAUCAUAAUUGAUUAUGCUUAAAAUAUGAUGAAAAAUAUUUCACCAAAUUUAAUUUCCAAGUAAAAAAAACCUUGUAAUCUUCAUUUAUUGACAAUAAACACAUUUAAACACAAACAGUGAAUGGUGUGAAGUUUCUCGCAGCAUAAUAUGUCUAACAUGAACAGGAGUUGUUUUUUCCUUGUGAUUAAAGUUAGUGGUACUGGGUCUGUGGGCACCUGAAUACAAGCCGGCAGCUGAAUCUUUCACCUGUGGUUAGUGAGCAUGUGAUGUAUUCUUGCCUGCAGCUCUUCCCUGAAACCCCCAGGGUGGUUUCAUAGAUACUCAGAACUCUAUUGCGUCCCUCAAUCACACUUUUAAUCUAGACUCAUGCAAAAGGUGGUGUAAAAUGUUACUCCUUAUGUGUGGGAGAUUUUCACCUGUGUGUUGGGCCCAUCAUUCUGGUUUUGGGCUAGAUAGACUGAUGAGACUGGUAAGACUACUAUAGGAUAUAUACGGUUAUAUUACAAUUUAAAUAUAGUUAUGUAAUAUCAGAUUUCAUUAAACCUUCAUUAAACGAUUAGUCCAGUGUUUACAGUAUUCCUGAACUUGUUUACUGACUGGAAUAAUUAGAUAGUCCAGAGACCAGUGGCCAUUGGUUGUUGCCAGCCCCGGUCUGACCAUAUACGGCCAGUGUCGAUGUAGGAAAUGACUGAAGCCAUGUGUAUAACAUAUGAGUGCACAUGGAAUAACAGCCAUCACUGUCAGAUACAGUGUACAGCAGGAGCAGAGACAUGUAUCACAUUUUAUUGACAGAGAGGCAAUUUGGAAGAAAAUAACAUUGGUGUGUUCAUCUGCCCCAUUUAACCGCCACACUCACGGCAAGAAGGAAUAACUACCCAUAAAGCUCUUCUGUAGUACCUCCACUCGAAUAGAGGGUGGCCUGAGGUCAUGAGCAUGAGCCCCUAGGGUUGUUCCAGGUCGGGGCCAAAUGUCAGGUUAGUUCGGGUCAUGCAUUUCUGGCUGGAGUGAAAUCUGGGUCAUGUAAUAGUUAUCUACACAUCCCAUGCAACAAGGUCCUUAUCUCUGCAACAACUGCUCAAGAAGGUGUCUCCAAACGCCUGCAUUUGCUUUUGGUUAGUGAUGCUUUACAGCUCACGUCCAUCACAUCAACGGCGAUACUAAUUAUAGUAUAUCAAAUGGCACAGGUGGCUAAUUUAUCACCAAAAGAUUACUCUGGACGACGCGCCCUUCAUGCGAGUGUGGUCUGCAUCACUGUCUCCAGCCCCGUAAACACCGGCCUCUCAAGACUGACAGCAGCAGAGCUUUAUUAGCCCAAUCACGACAGUAAUUACUUGAUUCAGACUGCUAACGUCUAAUUGCACCCUGUAUGGGGGGGGGGGACACAUCCUGUUGUGAUGCCUGUCUGAAUCAGAGCCAUCGCGGCGGGAGCCUAGCAGCCGUGCUCUGACAUGGCGCUGAACGUGUCACUCCGGGGAGUUUUAUAGAAAUCCAGACGUUUAUGAGAGUAACCUUAAGCUAUAGAUGAACUAUUUAACCAUCCCGUUUAAUUGCUGUGGAUAAUCAGCACUUGUGAUUUACACAUUGUACGGGACUUAAAAGAACACGUUGUGCUAGUCAAACACUGAGGAAAGACACUGAGAAAAGACAGAGCACUGUCACGCCUUAACCAAGAAAAAGCUAAACGCAAGAAAAAAAUGAAGAAUUCAUAAUAUGAGAAAUAUAAUUUCACAAAAGUCUGUCCACAGGUUUCACUACAGAUGUGUCAUGUGAGAAAUACACUGUUUGAUGGAAACCUAAAAAAGAAUUAGGAAGUACCUUCAGUUCUGUGGCAGUGUUUUGAAAGGUGUUUCUUGCCGCCCUUUAUUAAUAGUCUUUACAGGAAACAUGUAUUUUUCCUGAAAUCAGCCAGGCCCUGCCUCUGACGGUCAAAGACGAAAAAAAAAAAAGUCAGAAACAUAACACUAUGUUUUUGUUCUUUUCAUUUUAAUUUACAGUCCAGUAUAAUUAAUAGAUCGAUUGUUUACUGUUAUGUAUUAGCAUUUAGUUGAUGUUUUACGUUCUGGUAACUGUCAUUUUCAGCAUAUACUGUCAGCGGGGAACUUCUACAUUUCAGAACAAAGCAUGACACCUCUUUGCACUGGUCUUUCAGUAUGUGGUCGCUUGGCUGUUCCUGGCCGCUCCCUCAUAUGCCUCUCGUGACUCAGCCAAAACACAGGAAGUUGUUUAAACAUCCAGGGUCACGUCUUUCUCUCUGCUCAGAGUCGUGUUCUUUACAUUCCCAGGCCCCUUGGCUGUGGAGAUUUACACUGAAGUCCUCCCUCUUUGUAGUACUGUAUAUGUGCUUAUUCAAGGGCUGCCACAAAAUGGAUGACAGUCCAACCCUGUGUCGUGCAUCCCAAUGUCAACAAUAUCUUGGUCUGGGUUGUACUUGACAAAAGAUUGUUGUAGAGGGAAACUACUAGUGGUCAUUUGUAACAAAAACAAGUUGGAGUAAAAAAGUGCGAUGGAGAUAUGAUUAAUAUCUGCAUACAUCCACUGACAGCCUUCACACAAAAGCUGAAGUGACUCAUGGUGCUGGGACACUGAGUUUCUGUGGUGUUAACCCCUUCAUGGGAGUUGUCAUGGCUCUAAAAAUGUGUUAAAUGAAAAGGGAUAUGGUGGCAAUUUAAUUAUGAAGGAAUCAAUCUUGACAUGUUUGCCUGAAAAUGAAUAAAUCACCCAUUCUAAACAUAUUAUAGUUAUCAUAUUUAUUUUCCCUUUGUUCCUUUAAAGGGUGACCAAAAUAAAAAUGGGCACAUUCUGAGAAAUAUAUCUUUCAGUCUUAACAUGUACCUGACAAAAGGACAUUUAUUCUUCCCCCCAUGAAAACUGCAACUGCUCCCAAUUAUUUUCCACAGCCCUCUUCAUUUUAUUGGUCUGAGGUGGGUCAUUAUUCUGAGACUGUCGCCUGCCUUUUUGCUUUUUCUUGUCCGUACUGGCAUUCUUUGCAGCAGUGAAAGAGAGAAAGAGACAGAGAAAGAGAGGGGCACACAAAGAGAAAAGGGAGAGAGAGAGCGAGAGCGCGCGCGCGCGAGAGAGAGAGCACACACAUCCAGAGAGGGAGGGAGAGAGUGUGUCUGAGCAGUGUCUGGGCUAGCGCUCACAGUGCCUCCGGCGAUCAGACUGGGACACGCCCAGACAUGUCUCAUAGCAGCUCUCCCUCUCUCUCGCUCUCCCUCUCUCUCUCUCCCUCGCUCUCUCUCUCUCUCUCCCUCUCCCUCGCACUCUCUCUAUCUCUCUCUCCCUCUCCCUCUCCCUCUCCCUCUCUCUCCCUCUAUCCCUCUCUCUCUGCUCUUUGGACAUUGCAGUGUAAACAUGGUCAUGCAAUCUGUGCCAGCUGCUUGGGGCAAUGCCUGACUCGGCUGCAGGUUGCUUUGCUGACUACUCUUCAACAUACACACUUGUUUUCUCACACUCACAUCAUACUCACACUUUACUCUCCCAACUGUGUGUGAUGUGACAAUUUGCUGUUUUAUUAACUUUUUUAAACCACAUCUGUGGACAUGCCCCCUGCAAACUGGGCUACACCUGCCCCUCUUGAUUAUUGGAGCACAAGGAGGAAAAAAGAAACAUAGAACUUUAUCAACUAUCAAAUGUGUCUAUAAUCAAAUUUAUGGAAAUGGAAGUUUUUCUUACCUUAACUACCCUGCACAGAAAACACUUGAUCAUGCUAUUGACACAGUUGAUCAUGGUAUUUGUCGUGUCUGAUUUGUAGGUUUGUGAUUUGGAAAACACUCAUCUUUUCUGAUCUGAAUAAAACUCUAAUUUUAUGGUUCUUUGGUUCUUCAAAAACUUCAGGAGUCAUGCAGAGUGUGGAGCAAAAAAGGUUUAUUUUGCCAUUGCAAUACCAACGGCAUAAACCUGAGCAAGUCGCGAGACUAUACUGGCGUUACAGAGUCUUCCAUUCUCUUUUAGACAUCUGAAGAGACCCUCUUGUCACUAUAAAUCACUUAUGGCCCUCCCCGUGGGAUAUAUGUAGCUGGAGUAUUGAGGGCCUGGAAAUGCUUGGUGUCAUCUUUUGGUCAGUUCACUGCCUCCCCUCCCCUCCCCUACCCUCCCCCUUAUGUCUGAGCCUUAGCCACCUGCAUCAAACACACUCUGAAUCACCCCUGGUUUGGAACUGUGCCCAGUUCAGUAUAAGAAAAGGGGGGACGGGGGUUACCAGGGGUUACCAGGCCUUCAGGCCGGCGUAUAGAGGGUUCUCACAGCCUUCUGUGUAGUUACUCCCUACACACUAUGCCUAGAUUUGGCACGUAUUUAAACAUAGAAUGCACAUAAUGUAAUCCAUAUCAAUAGUGUAACUCAUUUUGUAGUAGUAUAGUAGUUUUGAUAGCUUGUUAUUAUGAAUAUCCUAGUGGUUAUAUGGAUCGUUAAUGUUCUACCCACACGUAUUUAUUUAUUUUCCUGAGGGUGGUGGGUGGGUGGGGGGCUGAAGGGAGGUUGGGGAUUGUUGGCUUUUGUUGUUUAUGUUGUUGUAAAAUCACAGAAAAUAUGAAGGAUACCUUUGUAAUCUUAUUCUGUACAACCCCAAUGUACCCUUCAUUCAAUAAAUAUAUAUAUAUAAAAAAAAAAAAAUGUUCUACCCACACUGGUUAUUAUACUGAUAGUUAGAAGUCUACACAGUGGUUAUUGAGUUUUCAUUCACAUAUUUUCUACCACAUAUUCUUGUUGGCAAAAUUGAGAUGAACCCGCUUUAGAAAGGCUUGCCCAAUGAUGCCUACAAGCUGUCCAAUAUGAAGUAAAAAAUGACUCAAAUGAAAUUACUCCUG
This is a long non-coding RNA of Clupea harengus (Atlantic herring), 6262 nucleotides long. RefSeq lists it as uncharacterized. The transcript has 2 exons. The record is from RefSeq and is a predicted model, not a curated record. Lineage: Eukaryota; Metazoa; Chordata; Actinopteri; Clupeiformes; Clupeidae.